This 497-nucleotide ribosomal RNA is filed under the name uncultured bacterium. RNAcentral describes it as "partial 16S ribosomal RNA". It matches the Rfam family "Bacterial small subunit ribosomal RNA", at positions 28 to 507 of the family's 1533-position model. The record is from RNAcentral.
GAUGAACGCUGGCGGCGUGCCUAAUACAUGCAAGUCGAGCGAACAGACGAGGAGCUUGCUCCUCUGACGUUAGCGGCGGACGGGUGAGUAACACGUGGAUAACCUACCUAUAAGACUGGGAUAACUUCGGGAAACCGGAGCUAAUACCGGAUAAUAUAUUGAACCGCAUGGUUCAAUAGUGAAAGACGGUUUUGCUGUCACUUAUAGAUGGAUCCGCGCCGCAUUAGCUAGUUGGUAAGGUAACGGCUUGCCAAGGCAACGAUGCGUAGCCGACCUGAGAGGGUGAUCGGCCACACGGGAACUGAGACACGGUCCAGACUCCUACGGGAGGCAGCAGUAGGGAAUCUUACGCAAUGGGCGAAAGCCUGACGGAGCAACGCCGCGUGAGUGAUGAAGGUCUUCGGAUCGUAAAGCUCUGUUAUUAGGGAAGAACAAAUGUGUAAGUAACUAUGCACGUCUUGACGGUACCUAAUCAGAAAGCCACGGCUAACUACGUG